UGUUCAUUAUUUUAUAAGCGGAGGAAAAGAAACCAACCGGGAUUGCCUCAGUAACGGCGAGUGAAGCGGCAAAAGCUCAAAUUUGGAAUCGCUUUCGGGCGAGUUGUAAUUUGAAGACUGUCUCUUGCGUGAGUGUCUUGUCGAAGUUCCUUGGAACAGGACGUCGCAGAGGGUGAGAAUCCCGUGCGAUGAGACCACGAGCGUGUGUAGAGGCAAGUCGACGAGUCGAGUUGUUUGGGAAUGCAGCUCUAAGUGGGUGGUAAAUUCCAUCUAAAGCUAAAUACAGGCGAGAGACCGAUAGCGAACAAGUACAGUGAUGGAAAGAUGAAAAGAACUUUGAAAAGAGAGUGAAAAAGUACGUGAAAUUGUUGAAAGGGAAGGGCUGGUGAGAUCAGACUGGGUUAAACCGGCCAGCAUCAGGUGCUGCGGCGAGACAAGACUGUGGGAAAGUGGCCUCGCUUCGGUGAGGUGUUAUAGCCCGCAGAGAUGUCGCCAGCGGCGCCUGAG
RNAcentral lists this ribosomal RNA (507 nucleotides) under Hyphopichia homilentoma. RNAcentral describes it as "eukaryotic LSU rRNA". It matches the Rfam family "Eukaryotic large subunit ribosomal RNA", at positions 31 to 518 of the family's 3401-position model. The record is from RNAcentral. Lineage: Eukaryota; Fungi; Ascomycota; Pichiomycetes; Serinales; Debaryomycetaceae.